UCCAGACUCCUACGGGAGGCAGCAGUGGGGGAUAUUGCACAAUGGGGGAAACCCUGAUGCAGCGACGCCGCGUGUGGGAAGACGGUCCUCUGGAUUGUAAACCACUGUCCCCAGGGACGAAGAUGACGGUACCUGGGGAGGAAGCUCCGGCUAACUACGUGCCAGCAGCCGCGGUAAUACGUAGGGAGCAAGCGUUGUCCGGAAUUACUGGGCGUAAAGCGCUCGUAGGCGGUAUGUCAAGUCAAGGGUGAAAUCCCCGCGCUCAACGUGGGAACUGCCUUUGAAACUGGCAAACUGGAGUGUGUGAGAGGAUAGUGGAAUUCCAGGUGUAGGAGUGAAAUCCGUAGAUAUCUGGAGGAACAUCAGUGGCGAAGGCGGCCUGCUGGACGACAACUGACGGUGAGGCGCGAAAGCGUGGGGAGCAAACAGGAUUAGAUACCCGUGUAA
RNAcentral lists this ribosomal RNA (447 nucleotides) under uncultured bacterium. Its description in RNAcentral is "bacterial SSU rRNA". It matches the Rfam family "Bacterial small subunit ribosomal RNA", at positions 330 to 793 of the family's 1533-position model. The record is from RNAcentral.